This 292-nucleotide ribosomal RNA is filed under the name uncultured bacterium. RNAcentral's name for it is "partial 16S ribosomal RNA". It matches the Rfam family "Bacterial small subunit ribosomal RNA", at positions 505 to 796 of the family's 1533-position model. The record is from RNAcentral.
UUUCCAGCCGCCGCGGUAAUACGUAGGGUGCAAGCGUUGUUCGGAAUCACUGGGCGUAAAGAGAGCGUAGGCGGGAUUGUAAGUUAGAAGUUUAAUACAAGGGCUUAACCCUUGACCGGCUUUUAAUACUGCAGUUCUUGAAUGUGGGAGAGGGCGAUGGAAUUCCAGGUGUAGCGGUGGAAUGCGUAGAUAUCUGGAAGAACACCAGUAGCGAAGGCGGUCGCCUGGCCUAACAUUGACGCUGAGGCUCGAAAGCUAGGGGAGCAAACAGGAUUAGAUACCCCUGUAGUCC